This 453-nucleotide ribosomal RNA is filed under the name uncultured bacterium. Its description in RNAcentral is "bacterial SSU rRNA". It matches the Rfam family "Bacterial small subunit ribosomal RNA", at positions 340 to 786 of the family's 1533-position model. The record is from RNAcentral.
UACGGAAGGCAGCAGUGGGGAAUAUUGCACAAUGGGCGCAAGCCUGAUGCAGCCAUGCCGCGUGUAUGAAGAAGGCCUUCGGGUUGUAAAGUACUUUCAGUCGUGAGGAAGGUGUUAAGGUUAAUAACCUUAGCAAUUGACGUUAGCGACAGAAGAAGCACCGGCUAACUCCGUGCCAGCAGCCGCGGUAAUACGGAGGGUGCGAGCGUUAAUCAGAAUUACUGGGCGUAAAGGGCACGCAGGCGGUUAAUUAAGUUGGAUGUGAAAUCCCCGGGCUUAACCUGGGAAUGGCAUUCAAGACUGGUUAGCUAGAGUCUUGUAGAGGGGGUAGAAUUCCAUGUGUAGCGGUGAAAUGCGUAGAGAUGUGGAGGAAUACCGGUGGCGAAGGCGGCCCCUGGGACAAAGACUGACGCUCAUGUGCGAAAGCGUGGGGAGCAAACAGGAUUAGAUACC